Molecule: ribosomal RNA, 253 nt
Filed under: uncultured bacterium
Lineage: Bacteria
Description: partial 16S ribosomal RNA
Rfam family: Bacterial small subunit ribosomal RNA
Source: RNAcentral
UACAGAGGUCCCGAGCGUUGUUCGGAUUCACUGGGCGUAAAGGGUGCGUAGGCGGCGUGGUAAGUUUGAUGUGAAAGCUCAGGGCUUAACCCUGAAAUGGCAUUGAAUACUACUAUGCUGGAGGUUUGGAGGGGGGACUGGAAUUCUUGGUGUAGCAGUGAAAUGCGUAGAUAUCAAGAGGAACACCAGUGGCGAAGGCGAGUCCCUGGACAACACCUGACACUGAGGCACGAAAGCUAGGGGAGCAAACAGG